UACGGAGGAGGCAAGCGUUAUCCGGAAUUAUUGGGCGUAAAGCGUCCGUAGGUGGCUAGUCAAGUCUGCGGUCAAAGCCUGGGGCUUAACCCUGGAAAGGCCGUGGAAACUGACGAGCUAGAGUGCAGUAGGGGUAGAGGGAAUUCCCGGUGUAGCGGUGAAAUGCGUAGAGCUCGGGAAGAACAUCGGUGGCGAAAGCGCUCUACUGGACUGCAACUGACACUCAGGGACGAAAGCUAGGGGAGCGAAUGGG
RNAcentral lists this ribosomal RNA (253 nucleotides) under uncultured bacterium. Its description in RNAcentral is "partial 16S ribosomal RNA". It matches the Rfam family "Bacterial small subunit ribosomal RNA", at positions 524 to 776 of the family's 1533-position model. The record is from RNAcentral.